AUGAGCUCGUCGUCUGCCGCCAUGCACCCCAAGGCCGUGUACCGGCUCAUCGUGGACAACUUCCUUGCCGUUGUCACCGCCGCCAUGGCCACUCUCUCUGUCGUCGCCCUGGUGUGGCUCGGGCCAGAGGAGCUGAUCAGCUGGCUCCGUGGCCGUGAGUUCCAGCCAGCGCACCUGUUCUUCGCCGGGUUCGUUGCGGCCGCAGCAGCCACCUUGUACCUCCUGCUCCGUCCGCGUGCCGUGUACCUGGUCGACUAUGCCUGCUUCAGCUCCUCCUUCAACCGCCCGCUCGCCCGCAUCCCCAUGGCCUCAUUCAUCGAGCACAACAAGCACACGCCCAGCAUCAACGAGCGCAGCGUCCGGUUCAUCUCGCGGCUGCUGGAGCGCUCCGGGCUCGGGGAGGAGACCUGCCUGCCGGCGGCGCACAACUACGUCCCGACGCACAAGUACUGCACCCUCGACAACGCCCGCGCCGAGUUCGAGCUCGUGGUCUUCUCGGCGAUCGACGACCUGCUCGCCAAGACCGGCGUCACCCCAGACGCGAUCAGCGUGCUCGUCCUCAACUGCAGCCUGUUCUGCCCCACGCCAUCCCUGGUGGACGUAAUCAUCAACAAGUACAACCUGCGUAGCGACGUCCGUAGCAUCAACCUCUCGGGCAUGGGGUGCAGCGCGGGUCUCAUCUCCGUGGGGCUCGCCCGGAACCUCCUGCAGGUUGUUCCCCGAGGCUCCCGCGCACUGGUCGUCUCCACGGAGACCAUCACGCCCAACUACUAUGUCGGCAACGAGCGCGCCAUGCUGCUGCCAAACUGCCUGUUCCGUGUCGGCGGGGUGGCCGCGCUGCUGUCCACGUCCCCCGCAAAGGCCCGAUUCCGCCUCAAGCACGUUGUGCGCACCUUCACCGGCACCGACGACAGCGCUUACCGGUGCGUGUAUCAGGAGGAGGAUGAGCAGGGGAACAUCGGGAUCAACCUCAGCAAGAACUUGAUGGCCAUCGCCGGGAACUCGCUCGAGGCCAACAUCACCAGGAUCGGGCCACUGGUCCUGCCGGCCUCCGAGCAGCUCCUCUUCGCUCUCUCCUUCGUUGCGCGGAAGGUGCUUCGCGUGCGAGUCAAGCCCUACAUCCCGGACUUCUCCACGGCGUUCAAGCACUUGUGCAUCCACGCGGGCGGCCGCGCCGUCAUCGACGAGCUGCAGAAGAACCUCAGCCUCUCCGACGAGCAGGUGGAGGCGUCGCGGAUGACGCUGCACCGGUUCGGUAACACGUCGAGCAGCUCGUUGUGGUACGAGCUGGCCUACGUGGAGGCCAAGGGCCGGAUGCGCAAGGGCGACCGCAUUUGGAUGAUCGGCUUCGGCUCAGGGUUUAAGUGCAACAGCGCGGUGUGGGAGUGCAUAGACCCUCCUGCACGCAGCACUGAUGGGCCGUGGUCCACGUGCAUCCACAGGUAUCCGGUGGACAUUCCUGACGUCCGAAACAACUAG
This 1479-nucleotide ribosomal RNA is filed under the name Triticum aestivum (bread wheat). Its description in RNAcentral is "partial small subunit ribosomal RNA". The record is from RNAcentral. Lineage: Eukaryota; Viridiplantae; Streptophyta; Magnoliopsida; Poales; Poaceae.